Molecule: ribosomal RNA, 512 nt
Filed under: uncultured microorganism
Description: bacterial SSU rRNA
Rfam family: Bacterial small subunit ribosomal RNA
Source: RNAcentral
GAGUUUGAUCCUGGCUCAGGACGAACGCUGGCGGCGUGCUUAACACAUGCAAGUCGAACGAGAAUCUACUGAAAGAGUUUUCGGACAAUGGAAGUAGAGGAAAGUGGCGGACGGGUGAGUAACGCGUGAGGAACCUGCCUUGAAGAGGGGACAACAGUUGGAAACGACUGCUAAUACCGCAUGAUGCAUAAGGGUCGCAUGAUUCUUAUGCCAAAGAUUUAUCGCUUCAAGAUGGCCUCGCGUCUGAUUAGCUAGUUGGCGGGGUAACGGCCCACCAAGGCGACGAUCAGUAGCCGGACUGAGAGGUUGAACGGCCACAUUGGGACUGAGAUACGGCCCAGACUCCUACGGGAGGCAGCAGUGGGGAAUAUUGGGCAAUGGGCGCAAGCCUGACCCAGCAACGCCGCGUGAAGGAAGAAGGCUUUCGGUAUGUAAACUUCUAUCAGCAGGGAAGAAAAUGACGGUACCUGACUAAGAAGCCCGGCUAACUACGUGCCAGCCGCCGCCGUAAG